AGCCAUAUCAAAAUUUUAUCGUCAGGMAGAAAGGCCACAAAAAAGUUUUCGUUUGUAACUUUUUUGUUUCGCAGGAAUUUCUAAACUAAGUUCUUCAAGAAAUCGUGCGACAAUGUGUUAUUCCUGCUGUAGCUCAUAUUCCUGCUGCUCGCCCCGCUGUGGGCCAUGCAGACCAUGCGGGCCAUGUGGCYCUUGYGGACCAUGUGGWCCCUGCGGACCUUGCCGRCCAUGCUGUGCACCGUGUGGACCGAGCGGAUCAUAUGGCUCAUGUCUUGAUUGUCGUAAACCCUGUGGUGAGUCRAAUAUUUGUCGACCCACAGGCUGUUUCUAUUUCGGCUGAGAUACCAUCGUCGCGAACACGAGUCAUAGGAAGUGUGUUUGCGAGCCAUCUGCGUCUAGUGCGUCCAUUGUUGGUGCUGGCGUUGUGCUGCAAACACCGAACGUUUUGGAAUUUCGCUAGAAUAAAUGUUACAGAAAAAACGAAUAACAGGACAAGCACACAUUGUGCUGAGUGAAGUUGAUGUGUUGUAAACACGAAAAUUGGCCAAUAAACAUACACACGUUUUGACAUCAAUAAAAUGAGA
Molecule: long non-coding RNA, 584 nt
Organism: Bactrocera latifrons
Lineage: Eukaryota; Metazoa; Arthropoda; Insecta; Diptera; Tephritidae
Exons: 2
Source: RefSeq, a predicted model, not a curated record